RNAcentral lists this ribosomal RNA (437 nucleotides) under uncultured bacterium. RNAcentral describes it as "partial 16S ribosomal RNA". It matches the Rfam family "Bacterial small subunit ribosomal RNA", at positions 29 to 507 of the family's 1533-position model. The record is from RNAcentral.
AGCGAACGCUGGCGGCAGGCUUAACACAUGCAAGUCGAGCGGGCAUCCUUGUGGUGUCAGCGGCAGACGGGUGAGUAACGCGUGGGAACGUGCCCUUCGGUUCGGAAUAACUCAGGGAAACUUGAGCUAAUACCGGAUACGUGCGAGAGCAGAAAGGUUUAUCUGCCGAAGGAUCGGCCCGCGUCUGAUUAGCUAGUUGGUGAGGUUACGGCUCACCAAGGCGACGAUCAGUAGCUGGUCUGAGAGGAUGAUCAGCCACACUGGGACUGAGACACGGCCCAGACUCCUACGGGAGGCAGCAGUGGGGAAUAUUGGACAAUGGGGGCAACCCUGAUCCCGCCAUGCCGCGUGAGUGAUGACGGCCUUAGGGUUGUAAAGCUCUUUUCUCCGGGACGAUAAUGACGGUACCGGAGGAAUAAGCCCCGGCUAACUUCGUG